CUCUCAUGAAUGGGAUUAGUAUCCUUAUGAAACAGUCUGUCUUAUUCCUUCUGCGAUGUGAGGACACAGCAAGAGGAGAGCCAUCAGUAAAUUAGGAAGUGAGCUGUCACCAGAUACCAAAUCUGCUAGUGCCUCAGUCUUGAACUUUCCAACCUUCAGAACUAUCCACGUCUACCUCACUAUGGAAGGAUUCAAGUUGUCCUCAACCUUAGAUUCAUCUUUGGUCAUUUGACGACCAUGAAACAUUUCCUGAAGAGAGAAUGUCUGGGGAGAUACCAAUAAUCCAGGGGUGGUCCUGAUGAUCAACAGCACAGUUUCUCAACCUCGGAAACUCAAAGCAAGGUGUGUCUUGGAUUGCUCAGCAUCUGCUAAAAUGUCCUUCUACGGUGCCACAUCUGUACUACAGAGGCUGGAAAAUGGUCAUCUACAUCCACAUUUCCCCCUUGACAUGAACUUUCCAUGUCUUGUCCAAGAUCUGAAUUAGGAACUGAGUUCAAUGGGAAGAGAGGAGAGACAUCUAGCACAUCUUGCGGGUGUAGAGUGACUGCACGGCAACGUAGCUGGAGUGGCAUCUGAUCAUCAGGCCACGGUUAAGGUGGUGGAACCUGGAAUCAGUAACUUCCUGACUGUAGCAGAAAUAAUAGUUCCCUGCCUGAGCCUCUUCCGGGAUAAGAUGUGCGAGUUGAACCUGGAACCUGCUGCCCCAACUCUACCAACAAUGUUUUAACACUAGAUUAUGUGAACUAAGUCCAUUUGUACUUAAAUAGCUAGAAUGUUUUCUGUUACCCAGAACUCUGAACCCUGUGUGGAAAGG
Molecule: long non-coding RNA, 814 nt
Filed under: Equus caballus (horse)
Lineage: Eukaryota; Metazoa; Chordata; Mammalia; Perissodactyla; Equidae
Description: lncRNA (ENSECAG00000033748.3)
Source: RNAcentral